GUGUCCUUAGCUCAGAGGAUAGAGCGUUCGGCUCCGGACCGAAAGGUCGCAGGUUCGACUCCUGUAGGACACG
RNAcentral lists this transfer RNA (73 nucleotides) under Clostridiales bacterium. RNAcentral's name for it is "tRNA-Arg". It matches the Rfam family "tRNA". Rfam says of the family: Transfer RNA (tRNA) molecules are approximately 80 nucleotides in length. Their secondary structure includes four short double-helical elements and three loops (D, anti-codon, and T loops). Further hydrogen bonds mediate the characteristic L-shaped molecular structure. tRNAs have two regions of fundamental functional importance: the anti-codon, which is responsible for specific mRNA codon recognition, and the 3' end, to which the tRNAs corresponding amino acid is attached (by aminoacyl-tRNA synthetases). tRNAs cope with the degeneracy of the genetic code in two manners: having more than one tRNA (with a specific anti-codon) for a particular amino acid; and 'wobble' base-pairing, i.e. permitting non-standard base-pairing at the 3rd anti-codon position. Lineage: Bacteria; Bacillati; Bacillota; Clostridia; Eubacteriales. The record is from RNAcentral.